This 1373-nucleotide ribosomal RNA is filed under the name uncultured bacterium. RNAcentral's name for it is "partial 16S ribosomal RNA". It matches the Rfam family "Bacterial small subunit ribosomal RNA", at positions 29 to 1377 of the family's 1533-position model. The record is from RNAcentral.
GCGAACGCUGGCGGCGUACUUAACACAUGCAAGUCGAACGAGGGGCCCUGGGGUGGCAACACUCCGGGGUUUCGAGUGGCGCACGGGUGAGUAACACGUGGGCAACCUGCCCCGGGGACCGGGAUACCCGCUCGAAAGGGCGGCUAAUACUGGAUACGUUCUUCUGGUUGCGAGACUGGGGGAAGAAAGGUGGCCGCAAGGCGACCAUCCUGGGAGGGGCUCGCGGCCUAUCAGCUAGUUGGUGGGGUGAUGGCCUACCAAGGCGAUGACGGGUAGCUGGUCUGAGAGGACGACCAGCCACACGGGGACUGAGACACGGCCCCGACUCCUACGGGAGGCAGCAGUGGGGAAUCUUCCGCAAUGGGCGCAAGCCUGACGGAGUGACGCCGCGUGGGGGACGAAGGCCUUCGGGUCGUAAACCCCUGUCAGGAGGAAAGAAGGGCUCUACGGUGAACAGCCGUGGGGCUUGACGGUACCUUCAGAGGAAGCCCCGGCCAACUCUGUGCCAGCAGCCGCGGUAAGACAGAGGGGGCAAGCGUUGCUCGGAAUCACUGGGCGUAAAGGGCGCGUAGGCGGGCGGAGAAGUCGGUCGUGAAAUCUCCGGGCCCAACCUGGAGGGGCCGGCCGAGACUCCUUGUCUUGAGGGGCGCAGAGGAGCCUGGAAUUCCCGGUGUAGCGGUGAAAUGUGUAGAGAUCGGGAGGAACACCGGUGGCGAAGGCGGGGCUCUGGGCGCACCCUGACGCUGAGGCGCGAAAGCGUGGGGAGCAAACGGGAUUAGAUACCCCGGUAGUCCACGCGGUAAACGAUGACGACUAGGUGUGGGGGGGUUCAGUCCCUUCCGUGCCGCAGCUAACGCAUUAAGUCGUCCGCCUGGGGAGUACGGCCGCAAGGUUGAAACUCAAAGGAAUUGACGGGGGCCCGCACAAGCGGUGGAGCAUGUGGUUCAAUUCGAUGCAGAGCGAAGAACCUUACCUGGGCUUGACAUGUACCGGAAAGCUGCAGAGAUGUAGCCCCCGCAAGGUCGGUAUACAGGUGGUGCAUGGCUGUCGUCAGCUCGUGUCGUGAGAUGUUGGGUUAAGUCCCGCAACGAGCGCAACCCUCGUCCUAUGUUGCCAGCGGAUAAUGCCGGGGACUCAUAGGAGACUGCCGGGGUCAACUCGGAGGAAGGUGGGGAUGACGUCAAGUCAUCAUGCCCCUUAAGUCCAGGGCUUCACGCAUGCUACAAUGGCUGGUACAAAGGGCUGCGAAACCGCAAGGUCGAGCGAAUCCCAAAAAGCCAGACUCAGUUCGGAUUGGGGUCUGCAACUCGACCCCAUGAAGUCGGAGUCGCUAGUAAUCGCAGAUCAGCAACGCUGCGGGAAUACGUUCCCGG